RNAcentral lists this ribosomal RNA (253 nucleotides) under uncultured bacterium. RNAcentral describes it as "partial 16S ribosomal RNA". It matches the Rfam family "Bacterial small subunit ribosomal RNA", at positions 524 to 776 of the family's 1533-position model. The record is from RNAcentral.
UACGAAGGGGGCUAGCGUUGCUCGGAAUCACUGGGCGUAAAGCGCACGUAGGCGGACUCUUAAGUCGGUGGUGAAAUCCUGGAGCUCAACUCCAGAACUGCCUUCGAUACUGGGAGUCUCGAGUUCGGGAGAGGUGAGUGGAACUGCGAGUGUAGAGGUGAAAUUCGUAGAUAUUCGCAAGAACACCAGUGGCGAAGGCGGCAUCCUGGACCAUAACUGACGCUGAGGCGCGAAAGCUAGGGGAGCAAACGGG